GAGUCUUUCCGGUUUCGCCGGCGAUCUACAUCGGAUGCUUACGAGAAGGGGAAUGGGGUUGGACCAAGGAGCCCUCGUCCUCCUUACGACGUGUGAGAUCUGAUCCUGGAGAUCUGGUUAUCUGGUUGCACCAGCACCCUAGCUUCUGGCUUCUUUUUCCAUGUAUCAAUCCCACCUCCCAUGAUCAUGUACGUGAGGAGGAGCUACAUAAAGAUAUGAAUAUGUGUGUGUGUGUAGUGUUUGCUUGUGGGUUGUGCAUGUGGCUAAGCUAGCCCUGUAAAUAUGGGGAUCUCUGCAUGCAUGCAUGCAUGCAUGGAUCCUAGUAGUCUGUUUUGUAAUCAGUAGACUCUGUAGUUUGUAAUGUAGAAGUCUGCUAUCUGUAUCCAUAGGAGGAGGAGGAGAGGAGAGGAGAGGAGAGGAGAGGAGAGGAGAGGAGGUUUUGUGGUGAGUUCCCUUUUGGUGGUGUAAUGUGAUAAUGUAGUGUAAUAAAAAAGAAGUCUGUGUUGAUCCCAUUAUGAUGUGUUUGAUUUGAUUUUGAUUUUGAUUUUGAUUUUGACAUUGGUAUUGAUUUGGGGUCUUUUGCUUAGGAAAGAAGUGGCAAAUGAAACUUGGUGGGGUUGGGGUUAUAAUGAGGCCAUCAAGAAUGGUGGACCAUCAACUCUGAGAGGAUAUAGGAGUACUAGGUGCUUUGUUUUGUAAGCAUGGAGCAUGGUGGGUGGUGGGUGGUGGGUGGUGGGUGGAUGGUGGGUGGAUUCUGUGAUUGUAGGCCUCACUUGGGACCUUUUGGCUAUUUGGUUCACGAUGUCCUGUGUGUCCACUUCAUUUGUAUGUGUUUUCCCUACAUGACCGCCUUUACGCUUUACGCAUUGCGAUUGGGACAUGGAAAUGAAUCAUAGUAUUUGAAGAAUCUUAUGUUAAAAAAUAAUAGUAAAUAUAUAAAAAAAAAUUGAAAAAUAACAGUAAUGGAAAAUAAAAAUAAAAUUUUUAUUUUCAUUCUUUAUUUUAAUUAUUUUCUCUUUCCUAUUUUAAUAUUUCAUAAUAAUGUGAUUAAAAAUGAAAAAUGAAAUAAAUCGGCAAUAAUAACCUUUUGUAAAGUUUAAAAUAAUUUUUUAUUUUCAUUUUAAAAGAAUAUAUAUAGUAAGAGUUUUUCUUUGAAGAAAAUAAUAUUUACAUGUCAUUUGAAAAUGAAUGGAUAAAAUAGUAUAUAUAUUUCAUUUUGUGGAUGAAUUGAAAUAUCUCAUUUAUGAAUAAGAUUUUAUUUUAUACAAUUAUUUUUUAUUUUAUUAUUAUUAUUAUUAUUUAAAUUAUACAAACUUGAAAAUGGAUGAGAAAAGGAAUGGGAAUAUCCAUCUCUAUUCCUCCUCUUCCCUUCUCUUGUAUCAAACAUGACUUAAGAGUUAGACUUAGAGGUGAUUGAUAAUCUUUUAGAAUAUUAAUUAUAAUAAUUUGUAGAUUCUUUACAUGUAAAUGUAAAAAGUAAAUGGAGAAAAAGGAAAGGGGUGAUAGGGAUUUCAUUCAAGUGUAAUGAUAUGAAAAUUUUAUAAUUUUGUAAAUACGAGUUUCAAACUAUUUGGUUAAAAAGGGAUAAAAGGAAUUUGAAAUAAAAUGAAUAUUAUUAAUAUUGAGGAAAUGUUUAAAUAUACUUUUCUUCUUUUAAUCUUUGACAUAUUUUACAUUUUGUGCUAUCACGUUUAAAAUUCAAUAUUUUCUCCUCCAAACUUAUUAAAAACUAAGGGCUUGUUUGGGAAGUAUUUGCCAAAAUUGUUUCUGUUCUCUAAAACAUAAAAACAUGAAAAAGUAUAUUUAGUAAUCAAGUAUUGUUCUUUUUUUAUGUUUUAUGUGUUCUCAAAAUCUUAUUUUUGGAUAACAUCUUUAAAUUAUAAAAGAUAUCGUCCUUUUUCAUACUUUGAUUUGAGCAUUAGUUUGAAAUUGAGUAACAUCAACUUUAAAUUUGUAGCAUUAAAGCAAAAUUUUACAAACAUUUUCAAAAUAUGGUAAUUAUUAAUUUUGAAUUUUGAUUUUAGAAAGAUGUUUGUAUGACAAUGUAUGAUUUUUGCAUAUAACUAGGAAGUGUGACAACUUCGAACUUAUGUUUUUAAUUUUUUAUUUUAUUUUAGCCUUAUUUAUUCACUUAACAAAUUGUUCAUAUAUAUUAAAGUUUGGAGAGCAUUUUGCAUUUAACUAAAUUUGGAGAGAAAAGUAUAAAACAAAUAAAAAAUUAGGGAGUUAAAAUAUAUUUAACCUUUAGAGAAAUUGAUGUAAAUGGCAUGAAUAUCAUUUUAAAUAUAUUAAUAAAUGAGAAAUGAAAAUAGAUUUUUUGAACUUUCAACCAUGUCUUAAAAUUAUUGAUCAUCGUUACUGAAUUAUCUUAAAUGAAUUAUUUUGUUUUGAAUAGUUUUUCUUAUUGAAUUAUUGGAGGAGUUUUCCAUCACAUCUUUAAAAGUCAAAUACUGAUGACAUUAACUAUGAUAAUUUUUUUCUAGAAAUGAAAAGAUCAUGGAAGAAAAUAUUGUAAAAAUAUUAUAUGUAAAUAUCAACUCUCGAUUAUAUAAAUAUUGUUUGUUUUGAUCCCAAUGAGUUCUUAAUACUCUAAAAUUCGUCUAUAAGACUAAGAUAAAUUCGUAUAUAUGUAGUUCUAAAAAUUUUCUUCCUUGUUUAAUGUGAGAUAUCAUAAUCACCUUUAUACAAAUAUGGUGUUCUUGUUGUGUUUCAUAAGAUUAUGGGGUCAAGGGUCUAAUAAACAAAGACUCACAUCAAGGCUACAUAUUAACUUUGAUACCAUUUGUAAUGAUUUACUUUCAAUCAUAUAGAUAUUAUUUAUUUUGAACUCAAUGAACCUCGUAAUUUUAAGAUGCAUUUACAAAGUUAAGAUGAUUUUAUAUAUAUAUAACUCAAGGAUUUUAUCGUGAUAUCCUACAGGAGAAAUUUUUUUAUGCUAUAUUAGUAUGAACUCCUUUUAACUAUAUAAACACGUUUUAAAGUUACGAUGACCUCUUAGGCCCAGAGUAAACAAUGUUUGCACGAUUAGGAACAGGUUGUGAUAAAUGAUAUCAUAAUUGAUCCUUGACCCUGGUGUAGAGUUUGGUUAGGUUCAUAAAAGAGAAUGUUUACACGAUUGAGACUGAGUUGAUAUUUGUGAAUAAAGAAUAUUUUAUUAAAGUAGAUAAAGAUAAAAUAAUUUUUAAUUUUGACUUUGUGAACAUAAAAACAUUAAUUAUAUCAGUACCUUUCAUAUUAAUGUUGAAUGUUAAGAAUUUUUGUAUUUAAUAAAUAUUGAUCAAUUUUUAUUAGCAAAAUUAGUAAGGUUCUCUCUUCAAACAUUAUUAUUUCUCUUUUAUAUUAUAAAAAAAAAGAUAAUUAAAAAUAAUUUUAUCCAAACAAUAUUCUUAAGUUUCUAAAAAGUAAUUUUUUUUAAAGAAAUAAAAAUAUUCUUUUAAUAACAAUAUAUACGAAAACUAUCUCUAUUUUCAAUUGGAUAAAUUUGUUCAUAGACCAAAAAAGAAAAAAAGUAAGAAAGAAAAAUUAAAUCAAUGAAAAAUGAGAUAUUUGUAUUCAUUGUUUCAUCAUUAGAAGUAAUAUUUCAAGUACUAAGAAAUUUACAUUUUAGGUGAUGCCAUCAUUUAUUUUCUUGAUUUUAAAUAUUUAUUAUAUUUAAUAUGUAACAAAAUAUUUGAAAUGUAUUUUAAUAUAAAUAAUUAUUUCUUUUAUCAAUGUAGAAUAAGAGCACUUCAAAAAGAAUUUUCAAAUUUUCACUUGGGUUUUAUAAACCCUGGCCCAAUCCAAAUUUCAGUGGAUUCCAUUUCCAACCCGACCCGAGCCCACUCAUGCAAUGGGUUUCCCGGUAAUCGGGUCAUACAGGUCUUUGUGUUCUGUUUGGAUUAUGAGAAAGAAAAACCCCCGAGCGAGUCAAGUGACUUUGUACGUAGAAUCCGUUCUUGAAGAAGAGAAUGGAUUGGAAAGCUGUGUUGUUUCUGCUAUUAUUGUUUAAUCUCCAAAUCCUUUUUUCCUCUGGUAAGCUUCUUUCUCUUCUCAUCCAUCUCUACGUUCAACCCUUUUACUUUCUAUUAUGGCAAAGCUCUGUAUUUUUUUUUGUUGGGUGGGUUAGGGUUUCAUGUACUACAAUAGCAAAUCUCAGAACGUUUGUGCUUUGUUCUAUGAUUAUUUAUUUAUUUAUUUUUGGGUAAGUUUUAGGUUCUUGUUUUGGAUGUGGGUGAGUGUUGAAAUCGUCUAUUAUUGAGAAUCAGGCCAUAAUUUUUGAGAGUUUUGUCAUAUGUAAAUGUUUUCUGUUGUGUUUUCUUCUAUGGCGUGUUUCCCUGCUGGGACUUGAGUUGUGGGGUAGACUUUGAUUCUAUACUUGUGUUUUGGAUUUGGGUAAGUCUUGAAAGCGUCUAUUUUUAAGAAUCAGGCCAUAAACAUGGAUGAUUCUAGCAUACGGGUGUAUGCUUUAUCUUGUGUUUCCUUCUAGGUGUGUUUCUAUAUCAUGGUAAAACUAGCUUCUUUUUUUUUUUUUUGUGUUUUUGGUCAGGACUUCAUAUACUACAAUAGCGAAUCCCAAGAAGGUUUCUGCUUUUUCUGUACUUACUUUUUGGAUUUGGGUAAGUUUUAGAUACAUAUAUUGGAUGUGGGCGAGUCUUGAAAUAAGCUAUUGUAGAGAAUGUAGCUGCAGUUUUGAAGAGUUUUAUCAUAUGCGCAUGCUUCUUUGUUGAGUUUUUCUCAAUGGUAUGUUUCCCUGAUGGGGGCUUGGGUUCUGGGGUAGACUUUGAUUCUAUAGUUAUAUUUUGGACUUGUGAAUGUCUAGAAAUUAUAUUUUGGGUUUGGGUGAGUCUUGAAAUCAUCCAUUGUUGAGAAUCAGGCCAUGAACAUUGAAGUUUUAUCAUACAUGUAUGUUUUAUCUCGGGUUUUCUUCUAGGUAUGUUUCACUGAGGGGACUCAGGAUGUGGGGUGGAGUCUGAAUCUAUACUUAAUUUUUGAAUUUUGUUAAGUCUUAGAAUCACCUAAUGUUGAGAACCAGAAGAUAAUUUUAAGAGUUUUAUGAUAUAUGCAUGUUCUCUUUGAUUGUAUGUUUCAUUGAUGUGGGUAGAAUCUGAUUCUAAAUUGUUAAAGGAUUGGAUUUGGGGACUUUUGGCACAUUAAUUAGGUUAUAAUACAGUUAGUAUUGGUGCAUGAUUGCCGUUAGUGUUGCGGAACCAUUGAAAGAGAGCAGGCAGUUUGAUUGGAAGAGAUAGUGGAAUCUCUAUCCUCUCGAUAUGUCCAGGAGAGGUGGGCUUGCCUUAUUUGAACCCUAGGAUAGCAUUGCAUUGUAUGGCAUGCCAAAUGGGGCAAGGCUUGAUAAAUGUACUUGAGGAAAUUUUACAGGUAGCGGAUGAUGAAUUUGUUCUUUGUAAGGGGGCUCUUUAUUCAGUUACUAUAUGUUGAUUAUGCCUAGGAUGAAAGUGACAGGAUGUAAGGUAGUUGUUGGAACUGAAGUGACCAAGGAUAACAUGCAGAGUCCAAAAGCAACAGUCUUUCAAUAUUGGGAUGCUCUUGGUAUCAUGGAUUGUGACAUGUGCUAGACUAGGGGUGUUGAAGAGUUGAAUAGGUUUUCUAACGUUUAUUCGUAUAUGAACUCUAAAAAUUAGAGUGAAAAUAGCCUAAGAUUGAAUGGUUAAGUUCUAAGUUAAGGCAUGGAAUUUUUUGUUUUUUUUUUAUUAUAUCCCAUUGCCUUGUUUUAACCUUUUAGCUCCCUUGUAUGCUUUUGUGUGCUCUUUUGUUAGGUGUUGUUAAUAUAAUUGAUCUUUGCCUAUAAAAAAGAAAAAAGAAAAAGAAGAAAAAGAAGAUUGAAUUCCUAUUUGAAUUUGUGACUAUAUCGCAAUUAAAUCAAUUAAUAUGAAAAGAAAAUAACACGAGGAAAAUAAAAAGAAUUAGGACAUGGUACUUUUUGAGGUGGAAAGACCCUAAGAGAUAAAACCAUUGGACCUCGUCUGGAAAGCAAUCCACCAUAUUAAAAAGGCUUACAAAGAUAUUCUAAUAUUAUCAUCACUACAUCCAAUCCUAAUCCAUAGAUCUGCAACUUGAAUCUUCCUAAAUAUUCUUUUCCAUGUCACCAACUGUCCAUGAUUCCUUGAAUGCUGCUAGCAAGAUUGCUUCAACGAUCUGGAAAUCACCAGAUCAUGCUCUACUGCUAUCAGCAUUUGAUCAUAGGUGACAAAGGUUUUUGGGGAUCCAUUUUCUUUCUAAAAAAUUUCUCUAUAGUGUUUUCAUAAAAAUUAAUGAUUUCUGGGAGAAAUUCUGUCUCAAGGCUUUUUUAGAUUUGAAGAGUUCUAGCAGAGAGAGAUAUGUUUUCCAUCUCUUGAAAACCUUCAAAAUAAGUCUUGAAAAAGUUUUGGAAAUGUUGGAAGUCCAGAAAAAGCAGAUUUAUAUUAAAAAAAUGUGUUUUGCUCUCUCAUCAAUCCAAGGUGGGUUGUGAUUAAUCUAAGAACAAUUAUCCUAUUCAAUGGAUCCAUGCACACCUUGAUCCAAUUGAAGAGCAAAUAAUGAAUUGAUUGAGAUUGACCUUGCAUAUAUCAAAAGAGAGUUUAACUCUUAGCGAGCCCCUCUGCAGAAAUCAAAGUCUUCAGCUUUUAACAACUGCCUUAGAAUCUUGGAUAUCACAAAAGCCUUUUUAAUUUUCUCAAGAUUUUGAAUGUUAUCUGUUUACAGGUAGUUUUUCCAUUGGAUUGGAUGUCCCUUGAUGUUGCUGUACAUCAGUGUUAUGUACAUCUGUUAAGCAUUCAUAGAAUUAUGUUUUCUAAGGGUAUAGCAAGAGGUGUUUGUGGCAAUUGUAGAUAGUAUGAACAUUGCUUUCAACGCAGGCUUGAAGGAGACUAACAACAAUCAGAACCAAUUAGAGACUACCCCUAUUCUGCUUGUUUGGGUGUUAGCAAGCUUCCAAAUGAUAUGUUGUGGAAAAGACAAUACACACUGGUGGUAAGCAUUGCCUUGUUCCAUUGUAUCUAUGUAAGUCGCUCCACUCACACCAGUCUCCUUGUGUUGGGACUCCCAUGGGUUUGUAGACAUCUCUUCCUAUGUUUGCUAGAACAGAAGGUUUUCCUAUUUUUGAAUGUGGAUGUUUUGCUCUGCUUCUAAAGCCUUCUUGAGACAUUGUAGAUUGUAACUAACUAUGGAAUCUUGAUGCUGUGUGGCAAAAAUUGGAAUUUGAAACUUACUUUUCAAUAUUGUCUUUAUAAGUUAAUUCAUAUUUAUUCUUGAGGUUUGAAGGUUUUAGCUCCCUAAACACUUCUGGUAAGUGACCUAAAAUGAUAUUCAACUGAGCUUGUGAUAAACUGUACUAACUGUUUCUACAAAAGGGAAAAAAAACAAAAGAGGAAAAGAGCUCUAUGACCUGUUAUCACUCUGAAAUAAUGAUACCUUGAUUAAUUGUAAUUACUUUGUAAAUAGCUUCUAGCUUUUAAGAUGCUUUGAAUUUAUCUCAAUGUAGGCAAACCUGAUGGAGUAUGUAUCUCUCCGGGUGGACGCUUUCCUCCAUUCUCCUCUGAAGGGAAACCGCCUAAGAAGGUCAGCAAAGGACCCAAAGAUUUGACCCUUUGCAGGGUGUUCCGCAGAAAGACAUGCUGUGAUGUAUCCCAGACACAUCCUGCUUUGCUGUCUAUCAGGAGGCUGGCUUCAACAGGGGAAGCCAGCCAAGAAUGCUUGCAAUUAUGGGAAUUAUUGGAAUGUUCCAUCUGUGAUCCACAUGUUGGUGUUCAGCCUGGACCUCCGGUUAUAUGUACUUCUCUUUGUGAUAAAGUCUUUCAGGCUUGCUCUAAUGCAUACUUCUCUAUGGAUGCAAAAAGGCAGGUUAGUGGAUAAUCUCAGGACUACUAGAUAACAGAAUCCAUCCGAAAAUUGUGAAGAUCUCUGCAUAUGAGAUGAUGCUUCCUUGGAGAUUCUACUCCCUAGACUGAUAUGAUUAGGUUAUGGUACACAAAUCUUUAUGGUUAGACUGAAACUUAAUAAUGUAUGGCUCCAUAAAUGAUUAAAUGGGUGCUUCUAAACUUCAAUAAGGUCUGAAAGCUCCCGAGUUGGACUGCAUAAAAUUGUCCUCACCAUCCCCCUUUAAAUGUUUUCCAGGUUCCCUAUUAUCAUUACUUUUGGACCAGUAGUAUCGUUUUAAAAAAACAGAUAAUAAUGUUCUUUUAUAUAAUGCUUGGCAAAAUUCAUUUCUGAUUAGAUGUUCUAUGCCAGGUUCUAGCACCUUGUGGAGUAGGCGACUUUGUUUGUGGCAGGGCUUCUGAAUGGAUUUCUAAUGGCACAGACCUCUGCCACGCUGUGGGUUUUUCUGUCAAACCUUCUGAUGCUGGCAUGGAAGAAACAUCUUGUUAUGGUGGGAAAGCCAGUCUAGAUUCCAUUGCUGAUUCUUGGAAGGCUUCUCAAUCUGAGACACCAUCGAAAAUUGAGAACGUAGGUGUUUUAGAUGAUUUUCAGCAGUGGGUGAGGGAAAUGGCAUUUAGCGAAAGAGUUUCUUGGGCAGUGGGAGGAAUGGUUCUUACAGCAGGACUCUUGUUUUUAAGGUCAGAUCACUCUCUUUAUUGGCAUUUAUAGUCUCAUUUUUUUUUUUUUUCCAAUUAAUGUUCUAGUUUAGAUGCUGAUGUUUUCAGACUUGCUGGUUUCUUCCUCAAGCUUAACUUGCUUCUAGUUUGUUCAUGUUAAACUCUGGUCCAUGUUUCAAUCUCCUAAUUUCCUAUUGCUAGGCAAUUCUUGAUGUGUCCUCUUCUUUUUUUGUUUCCUCUUCUUAUCUUAAGGUCAUGAAUAUUUAGUGGUUAAUGCUUGGAUGGGACAUGAAUUUUCAUCUGGAUAGUAUCCAUGUAGACUAUGUAUCUGCAUCUAUGAGGGUGCAUGGGUUUGGCCGUUGAGGCAAGGCAACAAGUGGAUGCCUAAAGUGCUUUGAGGGCCCAAUUUCAUGGACUCAUGCCUUGAAGUGAAACUAUAAUGAUGGAAACACAUUGAAUGUACCUCACAUAGUGAUAGGCACACCUGUAAUAAUUCUGCAUGUUCUCCCUGCCUCAUCCUGUGGGGGGGGACAAAACCUUUUCUGGCACCUGCCAUUUUAUGCAAGAGACAAGCCACACCAACCAUCCUUUGCAGUAUUAUUUGUUGGUUGGAAAUAUGGAUUUUUUUUUAAGAUGUAAUUUCAAAUCUGGUGGCUAAUGGGCCGAAUUUGGACUUGGAUAGGGCUUAAAUUAAAUUUCUGAAAAAUUGAAGUAAAGAAAUUAUCAGCUGUAAUUUUGGAAAUUUAGUUGAAAUGCAUACAAUCUAGUGGGAAGAAUUUCUAGAAGUUUGUGAUAUGUAUAUUACUGAUUGGUUGAACUAUUCAGAUGAAUAUUUAGUAACUUUUAGUGAAAUUUGAACCAAAAUAUCUGAAAUUAAAAAAUUCUGGGUCAGAUACCAAGGAUUGUUACCAACCUGUCUGGUAGAAAUGGCAUUCUUGUUUGGCACAAGAACAUGUGAGAUUCAGCUGAGUUGAUUGAUUGUGUGGAAAUCCUACCAUGUGUCAAAUUUAAGAACCAGAAAGUGGGUUUCCCACUCUCGUCCCAAAUUGGUGAUAAAUUUGGCAAUUUGGACAAGUUCAUGUUUUGGUCAGAACAGAUCUAUUCAUCAUUGUUUGGUUAAACCCAAUGUUAGAUUGAACUUCUCUUAUUCCUAAAGAAUUUUGUUAGUUUGACUUGUUUGCCAAGUGUGCCCACUGUCAAGGGCUUGAUGUUUAAUGUAAUUCAUCCAUGGCCAUGUGAUGGAGGACUUAAUGUCAUGCAAUUUAUCUGUGCUCAACUCAGUUAUGACUACUUGGAACAGUCCUUAUCAUACACAGAUCAGCUUUCACUGUAAUCAGGGUAGGAUUUCUAAUACCUAUUUUGUUCUUAUGUUAUUUUCCUUGAUAAUAUUUAUAUCCCGCCUUUUUUUUCUUGGCAAUGAGAAUGUACACUGAAGGACCAAAUGGGGGUGAACUCUUAGGAUGUAGUAAGUAUGCAGAGGAUUGCCUUAUCAUGAAUGGCCAAAAAAAAAUAAAAAAAAAUCACUAUUACAAAUCUGUCAAACCAAUUGCCACCUUGUCUACAAAUAGAAACUUUUGCUUCUCCAAGCGUAUCUGCUGAAUACAUGAAACAAAAUGUAAGUAUAAUACCUUUGAGAUUUGUUGCAAAGAAGUCAGUCCUUUCAUGAUUGUGUUUUGACAAAUUGUCAUUAGGUCUUACCUUCAGUCCUUUAUUAUUGUUUUUAUUUGUCAGCUAUUUCUCAUUUUGUAUAUAUUUUCUGUGCCAUGCAGCAAAAGAAAGAGCCAUAACCAGCGCCAGAAGCUAGCAGCCAUUCAGCGCACUGCCAAGAAACUGGAAGCUAAGAUAAAUCAGAAGCAUCCAGUUAGUCAAGGAAAUAGGAGAGGAGGUGGAAGAUGAACGUCUUCUUGUAGGUGCACAUAAUUUUGUGGUGUUAACUUAUAGGUUACUCAGUGAAUUUAUUAUGAACAAAAAAAAUGAUGUAUUUGCUUAAGGAUUGUUUCUUCAAUUUUGGAGCCCUCAAUUAUAAUUUUGAAGCAUUCCCACUAUAGUGCGGAUGAUCCCCUGUAGUCCUAACCAGGUAAAAGUCUAUGGUUAAGCAGGUAAAGAGGUUGGAAACCCCUUUACAUUCCUUCCUCAGAUGGCUUUGAUUUCUACUCUCUUGUAACAGUUCUUCAGCCCUUCUCAUCCGAAUCUCGUAUCUAUUUUUGGGAAGCAUUUUUUGGUGGUUAUAUAGCAAUUCUACUUGUGUUUCUGUUAAGAUCACAUUAAUGUGGUGAAUGUAGUGUUAAAGACUGUUUGUUAAUGUACUUGUGUGCUUUUCUUUUGAUGAACCCUUAAUUAUUAUUCACACAUGCUUUCUAGUAGACACCCAAAGGAGCUCCUCGAAAUGAAAUCAUCAGUGUGAUACGGAUGGUUUUAUGCUUUCUUAUAGAAGAAUUUUUAUGUAGAAUAGGCUGUCCAUCACAUUUCCAUGGCCCCAUAUGCAGAAUGCAGCCUCAAAGUUUUAGAACUUUGGGGUGGCUUGGGAUUGUUUUUGAAAACAGUUUAUAUUUUAGAACAAGAAAUGGCUUUCUAACCUGAAAAUUUAUAUUUGGCAAAGGUUUAAGAUGUUUUCAGAAGUUUGUGAAGUGUUUUAAGAAAUCAUGAAAUAUAUAUAAAAAAAUGUUUUAUAAAUUUUUACAUUGUAUGCAAAUUGGGUGGUGUCUUUAUGGAGACCAUGUUUUUUGUGGAUGAAUUCUUAACAAAAAUUUUGUUUCUAAAAACAUUUGAGAACCAUUUUUAAAAAUGCUUCCAAAUAGGCCACCUUGCUUUUCUCAUUCAUUGCUUUCUUCCAUGCAGAGAGAGAAUCCAUAAUGUUAUUUCCAGAAUGAUUCUGUAGGGUUCAUUAGCCUGAGAGUGAAUAAAAAUGGAACCUGAUAUUGAGAGUUAAGUAAGAAAUACCAACUAAUUGACUACAAUAUACUGGGUAUUUGAUCAAUAAGAAUAACCGAGAACAAACAACAGAGAGCACCUGAUGUACAAUACACUCACUCAGUCAAAGGUCUUACGGCAGGUCCAUAUCCUCAAUCAGUACUGGCAAAUUGAAUGCUAAUUAGCAGAUACAGUACGUAAUCAAAGAUUGUCUAAAGCAAAAAUCUCCAUUCCUGCACAGAAGACAUUGUGUUUUGUUCAUUUACAGAUUCUACAACAACUCCCAUCUGCAACUAAAUCAUUGGCAAGCUUCAAUAUCAUGAAGGAUUUAGGUCAUGAUCGGAACUGGAAAGCUUCUCAAUUCUGAAACCCAUCCAUUACCAGAUGAUUCAAACUCUAGCACAAGUUGAUCAUUCCCUUUUCAACUGAAGACAUCUUCAAAUACCCUUCUUUUUCAUGUAUCAGAUCUUUCCAGGUUUUAUGGGCUGUUCAAAAACAAAGACAAGAAAAGAGGACCUGGUCAACAAAAGAAAAGGAACUUUCAUGGCACCAACAUUGGAUGCCAUGAACCCUAAUCUAGUCAAAUAUUUAAAGACGCAAUAUGAUAUAAGUUUGUAUUGUAUUGUGUAUACCUUCUUAAGAUUCAACUUAGGUACAGUAGAACCGCUCAAUGAUGCUUUAUUAUCAACUGGUUUCAUUAUCUCAAAGGAGCAUACUAGAUCUUUAUCAACACUCAAAAGAGCACCGGCAUUAUCAAACUCUCCACCAUAGUUUGGUGCUGAAAAAAUUGUGACUAAUCGUCGUUUAGCAAAGAAUUCAUAUCCAUCCUCCACCACCUGCAAUUCAGCUUAGAACGAUUUUAGUCUGGACCACUUGUUUUUAGUAUGAUGUUAUCAGACACCAGUCCCUAGAUAUGACUCAAGCUGGCUGGUAUGAUACGCAUAUGAGGGUGUGGUACCCAUUCUUUAGAUGCAAUAGAUUACUGUUACAAGUAGCAUAGAGUAGUUAUAGGGCUCUUGUCAGUAGGGAUACAGCUGAAGCUGGUUGGUACCUACUAGGCAGUGGGAAGAUAUGGCAGUCAAUAAAGUUGAUUGAUGCUUGCUACAUUUUCCCGUCUUAUAAUAUCUUAAGUGUGCAAAAAAUGGAAUGUAUUACCAUUAUAGAAGGCUUCAAAUUGGAAAAAUUGUCGAAUGAUAGGUACUAUAAUGGUAAGUGGUUACAAACAUUGGUAAUAGCUUUUCUUUCUUUAGAAUAUUUAUAGAUGAUGUAAAGGUCCAGGGAUGCUUCCAAUAAUUAAUCUCUCAGUGCCCAUUUCUAAUACCAUGGUUGGAUUUAUUUCACAUAGAUGACUUUAUUUGGCUUUAAUGAAUUGGGAUGCUCUUAAAACAACUAUAUAGAACAAAGUAGGAAAAGUACAUGAAUGUUAUCAAGCAUUGUGAAUGAGAACUUUGCUUACCUGAUGACCUCGGCAAAUGAGAUCAAGAUCAUUCUUGUCCAAAAAUUCAGCAACCUUAUCAGCUCCAAAGGUACAAGAAACACCUCGAUCACUAUCUGCCCAACCAUCAACUCUAGCAUCAGGAUCAGACCAAAGCAGAUCACAAAGGAGACCGCUAUCUGGAACAUCAGUAGGUCUCUGAAUUUCCUUAAUUUGAUUCAAAUUUUGCAACUCGGGAGAGAGGCCCCCAUGCAUACAAAGUAUCUUUUCAUCAAUGAGUGCAGCCACAGGCAAACAGUUGAAGCAGUCGGUGAAUAUCUUCCAAAGCCUAACAUUAAACCUCCUUUUACAUUCAUCAUAAAAGCCAUAAAUCCGAUUGAUCUUUGCAUCUUCAUGGUUUCCCCUCAAGAGGUAAAAGUUGUCAGGAUAUCUUAUUUUGUAAGCCAGAAGCAAACAUAUUGUUUCCAGACUUUGCUUUCCACGAUCUACAUAAUCUCCAAGAAAGAGGUAGUUUGCAGCAGGAGGGAAUCCACCGUAUUCAAAUAGCCUCAAUAAGUCUUGGUACUGUCCAUGUAUAUCACCUGCAAAAGGCCUGCAAUAUUAGAAAAAAAUUCUACCAAAGAAUGAUAGGAUAGGAUAACAAUCGAUAUUAACUGCACGCUCCAGUGGCAAAUCAAGUGAGUUUGGGUAAGUGAUUCAAAAAGCCUCAAUUUGCACCCAAUGGUUGGUAAAUGAGCUGAGAAUUUAUGAAUCAAGAUAAAUCAAGGUGUACCAUUAAAGGAUAAGUGGGUAUCUUCAAGAGCUGAAUCAGGGAUGAAAUAAACCCAAAUCAGCUCAUCUUUAUGCUACAUUGUAAAUGCAAUGAAUUAAAUCUUAAUCCGAUCCAACAGGCAGUCUCCUAGAAGGAAAUUUGGCUCUAUUCCCCACAUGAGUCCUAGCACAAAAGAGUAGCCACUACAAUGCCUGUGCUAUUGAUUGCCAAUCAAGCCUGGACACAUGGGGAAGGCCCUAUAGCAGCGGCUCCCUUUUGAUGUGCGAGAUCGAGAUUCUACAUCAGCUUCAUCAAUAGAUGUUGUCGAAGUUGUGGUUGAAUCAUCCAUUUCAGUUGAAUCGAUGGAAGCCAAGUGUUCAGGAAGCUCACUCUCCCCCAAAUAGGAUAUUCCUGGCCAAAGGGAGAAAUGACUUUUCUUUGAAGUGAUUUUGGUUCAUCAUCAACAGGAGAACAUCUAUUUUUCAGCUCAUUUAUGGCAUUCGAAUUAUUUCUCCAGUUUCUAAACUUUUGGCACCUAGUACCGUACUGUAAAUCUUCUAUUAAUUUUUCCACAAACAUCAUUUCAUGAUCGAGAAUCAGGAUUAUAGAGAGAAGAAUCAACAAAAUUUUCUCCAAGGAUUCGAUGUCCUCCAUUCUUCUCUUGCAUGAAAAAAUAUACAGAUUUGAUGCUAAUAGAUGCACAUUUCUCUAUUUCCCAACAAUUUUCUCUUAGAUAUAUCAGAAAAAAAAUUGUUCAUAACAUUUCAGGAGAUAAUGGGUGGUUUCAUUUGAAAUUUUGAAUCACCCCAUUUGGUUGCCAAGUAACCAAGGAAAAUUGGAACUUCACAUCAAAUUUUUUUCCUGGUUUAUACUAAAUCAAAUCCCGAAUUAUUUUCCAGGGUAAGCUAAACUACAUGAAAUGUAAGGCUCCAAUUUCCUUUUUCCUUCCGUCUUCCCCAAGUUUCUUGGCAACCAAACAAAUAACCAGAAACAAAUAAAUACAGUAGCUUAGCCCAGUUACGCACAUCCAUUUACCUCCUCCCCAACCCAAAAAAUCGACAAAAAUGCAAAUUUCAAACCCUUCUUGUAAUCUUUGUAGCAAUUUUCUCGGCAAGCAAACAAAUAUCCAGCAAGAAAAAUAUACAGUAUUUUAGCAAAGUUAAGCCCGUUCUCUCAUUUCCUCCCAAAUCCAGAAAAAAAAAAGGGACAAAAAAAAAAGGGAAAAUAAAAAUUUCCUUUUUAUUUCGCCAAUUUUCUCGACCAAACAACCUCCCACGAACAAACAACAAGACAAGGCAAAACAAAAACAUGGGUAUCGCCCAUUGUAAUUGUACUCUUUCCCCCCAAUUUUCUCAGCAGCCAAACAACCACCAGGAAACAAAAAAAAAAAAAAAAGGAGAGAAAAAAAAAUCUCAAAAUGAAAACAUAGUAUUGCCUAUUGCAAUUGCACUCUUUCCCCCAAUUUUCCCGGCAACCAAACAAACACCCAGAAACAAGGGACACCAAAGCGGCACAAAACAAAACAUGGGUAUUGCAUAUCGUAAUUGCAGAAUUCAAAAUGAUUAUCAGGAGAGAGCUGACCAGCGAUCCGAAUAGGGGCAUGAAGCUGGAGGAGGUUGGGCUGAGAAAGAAAAACGUGGCGAGCGUUGACGCAGAGGUGGCGGAUCUCAGCCUCCGAAAGCUGUACCUGUUUGCCUCCUUUUCCAUCCAAAAGCCGCCUUAUGAUAUCUUCCAACACGCCCUUAUCCAUCAUUCCCUCCAUUGUCAUCAUCAUCAUCUGCUUCUUCAACUUCUCUUAAAAACAACCAAUUCCCAAGUUUCUACUGGGAGAAAGGCUUUGAAUUCCUGUCACGGAAUCCAAAGAAAUGGGCAGAAAAGUAAGAGAAAUGGGUCAAAACAAUCAAAUUUGAACGGAAAAGUGAGAGAAAUGGAUGAAAAGAAAGGAAAAAUGAAUAGGGAAUAGAGAGAAAUAGAUGAAAAUUUGGCUAUCUUUGAACUAAGGAUGGUGGGGAGAGAGAGAAGGGCAUCUGUUGAAUUGAGAGAUUGAUCGAAUGCCCACACUUUUAGAGAGAGAAAGAAGAGAGAGAAAGGCCACCUGUUGAAUUUUUUUUAGAGAGAGAGGGAAGAGAGAGAAAGUUUUAUCUGUUGGAAAUGAGUAGAAAAAAUCCUGUCAUUUUCUCAUGAUUGUUUUUUUUCCUUAAAAAAGUAAUCAUAUUUCUUUUUUCUUUUCUAAAAUUUAUUUUUAUAAACAUUAAAAUAUAAUUCAAUAUUAAAAUUUAGUUUUUAAUAUAACAAAAAAAAAUUAUAAUAUAAAAUCAGAAAAAAUAUAAAAUAUUACUUUAUACAUUUUCAAAAUUUUAUUUUUACAUGGAGACAAGUUUUAAAAAGUAUAAAAAAAAUUAUUAAGAUAAAUUAAUCAUCAUUUAUGCUUUGUAAAAUGAUGAUAUAUUUGAUAACUGUUUUUUAAAAUAAUUAUAAAAAAUAGCUUUUAAAAAUUGUUUUUUGAUGUUUUGUAAAAUUAAAAUUUAUUUGUAAACUUAAAAUAUUUUUACUCAAUUUUAAAUAUUUUUAAAAAUAAUCUUUAUGUCUAAUAUUUUAUUUUUCAUUAUUCUACAUAUUUAUACAAUUAUUUUUUAAAAUAGAUCUCAAAAAAGUGAAAACAAUUAAAAAAUAUUUUCUAAAAACACAUCUUUUUUUGUUUUUGGUUUUUGAUUAUUAAAUAUAUUUUGUUCUCCGUAACAAAAAAACACAAGAAACAAGUUUAAUAAUAAAAAACUUUUUUUUUUCGUUUUCUAUUCUUAAAAUAAAAAAUAAGGUGUUCUCAAAAAAUAUCUUUUAGUUUUUUUUCCUAUUAUUUUAAUUUGUUUUCUUAGGGGUGUUUUAAAAAAUAAUUGCACAAAUAUGUAGAAUGAUUAAAAAUUAUUUUUCAAAGAUUAAAAAUAAUUGCACAAACAUUAGAGAUAAAAAUUAUUUUAAAAAUAUAUUUUAAAAUAUUAAAAUUAAGUUAAAACCAAAAUCAGAAAACAGUUUUCAAAAACCAUCUUUUAAAAUUAUUUUAAAAAAUAAUUACCAAAUAGACUUAAUUUAUAUCUCAUGUGUGGUUUAUAUUUUUAUAUCAAAGUAUUCGUUUUUAAUAUACUUUAAUUUUAUUUAUUUAUAUACUAAUAUCGUGACCAUAAUUUACUUUAAAUAAUUUAUAAUUAAAAUUUGAUAUUAUAUAUAUAUUUUAUUUAUUAUUCCAAAGAAAUAUAUGUAUACAUAAUUAUUUCCUUUUUCAUCCUCCCUAGUGAUAGAAUUGAACACAACAAUUGAAAACUUUAAAAGAGGAAAUGGUGGACUUGGUUGGAAGACCCUAAAAUCAGGCGUGACAGGUGGACAGAUGGGAGUGGUGGUCACGGUAAUAAGGAAAGACACUGGAGGUGAGAUUAGUCUUCAAACCGCGUUACCCCUUUAAGAGCGAUACCCCACUCCAUACACCACCAUUAUUAUCCAUUUUGGUAGAUAUGCCUUCCCAUUUACUUCACAUCCAACUCACCAAACUCACUUUUUAUUUUAUUUUAUUUUAUUUUAUUUUAAAUUUCUAAAAAUAAAUUAAUAAAUUUAUAAAAAUAGUAAUUUUUAUAAAAGAAAAUAUGAAUUUAUCUUAUAUUCUUAAAAAUUAUUUUAAAAAUAUUGGAUAAUAAAAUUUUUUUAGUACCUUAAUUUUUUUUAAAAUAAUAUUUUACAAAAUAUUAUAUUUUUAAUGUAUAUCUCUAUAUAAAAUUUAUUAUUAUUAUUAUUAUUAUUAUUAUUAUUUUUAAAUAGAAUAUAACAAGUCUAUUCAAAUGAUGUCUUAAUUUUCACUUUUAAUUAUUUUUUUAUUUUAACUAUUUGUACACCUCUCAAUUAAAAUAACUAUUGUCCCAUGACUCCCAUCCAUGAAUUUUUUCAAAUUAUUCUUAAAAUUAUUUCCUAUCAUGAUUACUCAUUUAAAAUCAUCAUUUAUUUAUUUUUUGAUAUUUACCUAGUACCAAUCAAUUAAGAACUUGACCAAAAUAUAAAGCAAGUUAACAAAAAAAUAAUGAAGUGUUUUCUUUUUCUAUUAUCAAUGAUCCAAAUAAGUUGAUAUAUUAAAAUCUAAUCAAGGGUAUGAUUAAGGUAAUAUUUGCUUUUUUACUUAAUUUUAAUUAAAAUUUUAUAUUUAAAAUUAAAUAAUACUUAAUAUUAUUAAGUAUUAAAUUAUUUUUUUUAAUAUUUUAUUUCUAUUGAGAAAUAAAGAAAAAUCAACAGAUAAUUUUAAGUUAAAUAUUUUGAUUUUUUUAUUUAGUAAAAAUUUUAAGAAAUAAGCAAUAAGUUAAUAAAAAAUGAAAAAAUAAACUAUCAAAUUACUUUAGCAAAAAUAUUUUAAAAACAAAUAUGAAUAAGGUUAUAUAUAUUAGUAUUAAAUUAUUGAUUGUUUUUGGUAGGACACGAUUUUUCAUAAUUUUCCACAAGAAGCUAUCAUGGGGUGAACAAUGGGGUAAUGAAGUCAAGCCAAUGUUGGUAGGGCUAUUACUCCAUUUACUCUUGCCUUUAAUGAUGGGGUGAGUUAGUUGAAAAUUUUAUAUGGCAAGUAAAUUCUUUGCCAAACCUAUGGAGGACCAUGUAUUUUUGUCUUUCAAAAUAAAUGUGUCUUAAAAUGCCGAAAAAGAAUCACUAGUGUUGAUUCUCAACAAUAAUCAAUCCUUUAGGUAGUCACUUUAAUGCGUUUUGUUCUUAAUAUUUUUAUUAAAAGGUAAGUUCGACGAGGGUGUGCUUUGUAUAGACCUCUUUGAUGUCUAAGUCAAUUUAGAGGAUUUAUUGUCCAUACCUCUUUUAUUUUUAGCUUUCUUCUUUUACUCAUAGAAGGGUACCUACUGGGAUGCCCCAUGAGCGAUGCUUAAGUCAAUUUAAAGGAUUUAUUGUUUAUACAUUUUUGAUUUUUGAUUUUCUUUUUCUACUCAUAGAAGGGUACUUACUCAGAUACCUCAUGAGCAAUACCUAAGUCAAUUUAGAGGAUUUAUUGUUCAUACCUCUUUUAUUUUUGGCUUUCUUCUUCUACUCAUAGAAGGGUACUUGCUCGGAUGCUUCAUGAGCGAUGCCUAAGUCAGUUUAAAGGAUUUAUUGUUCAUACCUCUUUUAUUUUUGGCUUUCUUCUUCUACUCAUAGAAGAGUACUUACUCAUAUGCCCCAUGAGCGAUGCCUAAGUUAGUUUAGAGGAUUUAUUGUUCAUACCUCUUUUAUUUUUGACUUUCUUCUUCUACUCAUAGAAGGGUACCUAUUCGAUGGCCCAUGAGCGAUGUCUAAGUCAAUUUAAAAGAUUUAUUGUUCAUACCUCUUUUAUUUUUGACUUUCUUCUUCUACUCAUAGAAAGAUACCUACUCGGAUGCCUAUUGCCAAGGGUGUCCACAACUAGGUUUGACAAAAAUCAUUUUUCUUUAUUAUUUUUGAAAAUACAAUUCUAUCUAGAAACUCAAUUAUAAAAAACAUAUGAAAAUUCUAUGCUUUUAUGUGCAAUACAAUGUUUUUAACUUAUUUUAUUUUAUGUUUUUAAAACUCGUUUUUUAAAAUCUUCCACAAAAAACCAUUGUGACAAAUACAUCAAAUUUGUUCUAAAAGAUCACUUUGUUUAUCAUAAUGAAUAAAAAAAAAAAUCAUUUUCAACUUAAAAUUUGUUAAGCAUAUUCUGAGCCCGAAAAUUUGUAGCAUAUAUAACCAUUGGUAGAAGGGUCCUCUAAGAACAAAAGGCUAACCAGAGUCAGCAGUGGGGGACUUGGAUUAUAUACGGGUCUUUGUUGGUUUCUUCUAGGAAGAAUUUUGAGGGAAUUUCUCAGCACCUUCUUACUUCCACCAAUGUGAUGUUUGCCUGCUCUUUUAAAGUCUUGGUCUCUUAGAAGUCAAGAAAUACUUGAAAAAUGAGGAAGUAUUCGGUACCUCUAUCGUAUAGUUUUGUUUUCCAUCGGGUCUUUCCGGUAUAAUUCUUGGUUAUUGAGAAUUUAAUCAAAUAAUGCAUAUUAUUGGUUGUUAGGUAUUAUAGGCCGAGUUUUUUUAGGUAUUGACAUGUUCCGUAACAAGUUUGAUAUAAAUAUAAACAAGUCUGGAAUGAGUUUGAGAAUUUUGUUUGACUUUAUUCAAUUUUUUUGUGAUUAUAUAUAAUAUUAAAUAAAAAUAUUUUAAUUAUUUUUUUUAUUUUUUAACUUUUUAAAUAUAUAUAAAAUAUUAUUUUUCUUAAAAAAUUAUGAUUAUUUAUAAUAUUUAUUAGUUUAUAAAUUGUAUUGAUUUUUAAUGCAAUUUCAAAUUUUAAAGUAAAAAAAUUUAAAAAAAGCUAAAUAGGGUAAGUAUGAGAAUUUUUUAUACCCUCGCCAUCCUACCAUGUUUAAUUAUUCUUUUUUGGUAAGGAUAAGGAUGAAUAUAAAUAAAUGAGAUAGGAGGACAGGUGAUCUGAACUUACCCAGUUGUCAUUCCCAAUAAUUAUAGUAUAAUAUAUAUUAAAAAAUGAUAUCCAAAAUUCAAUUUCUUUAAAGCUUAACUAUGAUCGAUUAAUUUUCACUUUUUGAUUUGCCUUAUAAAGUUUCUAAUCAAUCAAGAUAAAUCAAUAAUAAUCAUUAUAUAUAAUAGCACCAAAUAAUAAAAAAUCAUCUAUAGAGAUUAUUCAAUAGUUAUAGUUAUAAAAGCCACGAGUUUAUGCAUGUAGAAAUCUCUUAAACAUGAAAGAAGUAUAAAUAGAUCCUUGAACUUCCCCUUUUCUCAUUGAAAGGGCUUCCAAGAAUCUCUAAAUGAAAUCUUAAUUUUAAGAGUUCUCAAAGCUUUUUUAUUUUUUAUUUUUUUUUAUUUACAAUAAAAAUGAGUUUUUUUCAAACCUUUUUAUACUAAAACCUUAGGUUUUUAAUUAUAUCAAUCUAAGAAAAUUAAGAAAAUUUCAAUAAUUUUUUAAAAAAUUUUGAAGCAUAAAGUGUGGGCACUUGAGUGCUACCUAGGGUGAUGCUCAAGCGGUCUUGGGUACUUGAAGUAGCUAAAACAAGAGUUGAAGCUGCAAGAACUGGAGUUAGAAGGGCAGCAAGAACUGGAGUUAGAAGGGCAGCAAGAACUGGAGUUAGAAGGGCUACAAGAACUAGAACAACCUGUCUACCUCAAUAGUGAUGAGCAGUGCAGAGAUAAUAGUUAGAAUGACAAAAUCUCCUACAUAAGUAUAUCAUACGUGUAGUCUCUCGUGACACUAAAAAUUAGAUGCUUGAUGUCUUUCUCGUGCCUCAUCUAAAUGACAUGAAUAAGUUAGGUGGCUAGAUGUUAGACAGAGCAAGAACAUUGGGAAUGAACAUUAGGGCUUGAGUAACAUUCGAUCUCACAUGGGGAGCACAACAAAUAUGUUGGGAUAUAUUUUCUCAUGUGAAUCAUGAUUAUCUGAUAGUCAAUGUUACGAUUUAUCGUAGGCCUCAUUCAAUAUGUAAACAUACACAAUAAUGCACUCAUCGUGAAAAACUCAUCUUAUUAACUAAGAUAAGUCAUCCCUCUAAUAAAGAGGUAGUAUAUUAUAAUUUCAAAUGGAUUGCUUGAUUCCAUGAAUUGAUUGUGAUUAGUUUAUCAUCUUGUAAGGACUCCACGAUUUGGGUUUUUUGUGCAGUUUCUAACAUACCAAAGUCAUGUACAAUUAAGGAUAAAAGGAAGACCAUAAAAUUAUAAAAUAUAAAUAUAUUAAUGAAAUAUGAUUCUAUUACAUCAUGUUAUGCUUUCAAAGGUUCUAUCCUAACAAGAUAAACUUUAUAAUAAUUGUCAAAGUCACCCCAUAAUAACUCACAAUUAAUUUGAUUUCCAUUUAGCCAAAUUUAUGUUUAAUAUAACUUUUCAACUUUCUUGUGUGUAUCCAUAUAAAUCAUACGACUAUAAUCUUUAUUGUUUAAGGGUAUUUUUUUUUACUUUUAAUUUGUUGUGGCUAUUAUUAAUUUUCAUGAAAAACAUUUUCAUUCUUUUUAGCCUUUAAAACAUUUAGAGUGUUCUCAAUUUUUGAUAACCGUGGAUGUCUGGGUCAACUUACGCACACCUUGACUAAUCUCACGGGACCCUGAAGUUAACGACCGGAUAAGCCUCUAGUGGCCCUGAAGUUAGGGUGUUCUCAAUUUUUGUAAUUAAUCGACCAAUUGAUUCUUUGUAGAGAUAUAUUUUAAUGAAACAAUUCUACUUUCCACUAAUGAAAUGAUGAUGAGUGUCAAAGUGUUCAGUCCUAGAGUGGAUGACAAUUUUUUGAGAUGCUUAUAGAUUCAAAUUAUCAUACCAAAUGGACUUGGUAUCAGACCUUCAAUCCAUAGUCUUAAAAUUUUUUUGCUUUAACCAUAGAAAUUGAGUGCAAUUGCUCCUAUUAGCCAUGGAUUCAACCUCACCCUUGGAAAGAGAAAGAGUAAUGCUUUUUGCUCAUCCAAGCCAACAAACAAUUCCCCACAAAGAAGCAUGCACCAAAUGUGUUCUCCUUCAACUCAAACAUGUUUGUAUAAGACUUGAUGGUACUGAAAUAGUUUUGGACUAGUGAUUUUUGAAGCAAAAUUAUCAAACUAAACUAACACAUUAACAAUAUGUACAAGGAGGAAAUAAAAAAAUCCAACCAAUUUUUGGUUAUUGUUUAGUCUUCAGUUGAAUUUGCUAUUGUCCCUUCUAAUGUAAUUUAGAGUUUUUUGGGUUAUUGAAAGAGAUAUCGAAUGAUCAAAAUUUCAAAAUUAUCAUAUUUGUAAACUAAAUUCUCAAAAAACUAUUUUCGGCUAAAAAUUUGCCAAACAUUUUUUUAAAGUUAAAAAUUGUCUUCUUUUUUUAUUUUAAUUUCAAGAACUAUUUCCCAAUAGAUUAUUUUGAUUUUGAAUUAUUUUCACUUCCAUUUUUCUUGAAUUCUAGGGUUGAAACACUUAUACUACGUGUUUGCUUAGGUUGUAUACCUUCUAGCAUUUCUUGAUGAAGUAGUGUUAAGGCUUUGCUUGACUUCUUUCAAUGUUUUAGCACCAUUUGUUUUCUUAAAUGAAGUUUUAUUUUCAGAUAUAUUGUGUGAAAGCAAAAAGUUAAGUUAAAAUUUAUAACUUUUAUCUAAAAUAUGAAGUCAAUGAUGUUAAUUCUGAGCCAACCGGAGUCAAGUCUGUUGAGGGGAGCCCCCUACAAAUGAUACUCUUAAAUCGAUGUUUAUCUUGAUUUAAGACAAAUUUAUGACAAAUUUAGACCUAUUCAAACUUUAGGUGCCAUCUAAGUUGGCUAUGUUACCAUGCCAAUGUCCACAAUUUUAUAUCUAGCAACAGGGUUAACUUAUUCUAUAUAGUAAUAAGUACUAAUGCAUAAUUUGUAUAAGAAGGGAAACUAGGUCCACAAAAUAGCCCUAGAAAACUCACAAACAAGCAUUCCAAGGCAGGAAAAAUGGGUUUGUUGCUUACCAAUUUUAUAACCCUAAAGAAUGAAGAAACAAACACUUUCCCUCCUUUGUUGGCAAGCUGCUUUUCAAGAAAUAGAGAGGUUGUGCAGGUAUAAUUCAUAUCAAAACAAGCUUAGUAUUUGGUGUCAAAAUCAUAACUACAAUCCAAAUUAAGCAUCAAACUUGGCAUUUUCCAAUAUAUUUCACUAUCUGUUAAAACAAAUGGAGCCCAAUUGUAACCAAUAAUCAACCCUUAUUUCUCACAAACCUUAAUCAGAUCUCACCAUCACUACAAUCAGAAGCAGCCAAUUCUAAGAACAAAACCGUAUCAAUAUUUGUACUAACCCCACUACAUUCAUAUCCUCAAUUCCAUAGAUAGAUCAAUAGAGAUGAAAUUAAGAACAAAUUAACAUUGGAGUUUCAGAUUCAAACAAAUUUCAGCCCUAUGACUUUUUUUUUUCCAUCAUCAAUGAGAAUAUGCAUUUGGGCAUCCCACAAAUCAACUAAAAACAACAAAAAGUCAUCAAGAUAAGCACAACCCAGAUCGAUUAAUCCAACAGACAAUUAAAAAAAAGUUCAAGGACACCAACUAUCUGAAUUCAAUUCCCCUAAUGAGAAGAAACAAAAGGGUUUGAUCUAAGCUUGUUUACUUGCCUAUUACCGCAAUUCAAACCACACCCACAUUGAGGGCACUCCUCAAAGUUGUCAAUUGAGAACCCAGCUGAUGCGAUCCCCACAGAGAAAUCGAUGUCAUCGCCGCUCCGGCGGACCUCUAUUAUGUCCACCCAUAUAAAGAACAGCUUCACGCUGACACCCUCCAAGCUUGAUAGCUUGCCUUUUGAUAUGUUACCUUUGAUGGUGGACUUGUACUUCAAUUGGUACGAGCCUUCAAGAGAAAAGCUGCAGCUACCAUUGAAAGAGGCUGAGAAUUUACCCGUGGAGGUGUUCAGAUCAUAGCCUAUGACCCCUUUUGGAAGAAGGCCGACUGGGAAGUUGUAGUCCUGAAGAACCUCAUAAACUGUUGGGGAGUCAUUGGAGGAGCUGGCUGGAGUUGAAUGUAUGAGGAUUAGGCAGAGAGUUGCGGCUAGAGAAAUCAAUCUUUGGGUUUUGGUUGAAACCAUCUCUGUCUAUCUCUCUCUCUCGUCUUCUUCUUCUUCUUCUCUUUAGGUUUUCUUCUUCGCUUUACUUUCUCUUCUUCUCUAUUGUUUCACCUAACCGUCAAUUGAAAGGUAGUUGGAGGUGGAAUCUAACAGGUUUGGCCACUUGUAGCCCUGCAUAUUGGGGUGGGCUAGGCUGGGGUUUGCCUAGAUUGGGUUGGGCUAAUAUUGGGCUCUGAGUGGUUCCGGAUCAACCCCUAUGGGCUUGGAGUUACCUGGGCUGACGAGUACCCAAAGUAAAUUGGUUUCAUCCACCAGCAAGAUGCACCAAGCCUAUAUAUAAAACCUAAUUUACGAUAUAUGGUGCUUGAUGAAUGGUCCAUUUACUUGUAUCCACACAUUGUUUCAAUCAAAUUUAAUGUUAUAAUUUCAAUUUGAGAUGUUGCAUGUAUACAUAAAUAAAAGGAAGAAAUUGAGUCAAACAAAAGUAAAAACAAACAUGACAUUACUUUCCUUUGAGCAUUCAUAAGAUCAACUAAGAACAACAAUAAUUAAUCAAAAUAAGCAGUACCCACAUGGAUUAGUCCAACAAACAACUCAAGGAAAUUCAACUACACUACUCAUCUCAAUUCAAUUCAAUUCCCUUCAUAAGGAUAAAGGAAAGGGUUUGUUCUAAGCUUGCUUACUUGCCCACCACCACAUUGGAAGCCACACCCACAUUGAGGGCUCUCCUCAAAGAAGUCGAUGGGAAAUGCGGAGGACAUAACCCCCACAGAGAGAACAAUAUCAUCUUCGCUCCGGAGGAUCUCUACUAUCUCCAUCCACACCAAGAACAGCCUCGUGUAGACGCCCUCCAAGCUAGAUAGCUUGCCAUUUGAUAUGUAACCUUUGACAGUGGGCAUGUACUUCAACUGGUAUGAGCUUUCAAGAGAGAAGCUGCAGGUAUCAUUGAAAUAGACUGAGAAUUUACCUCUAGUGAUGUUGAGGUCGUAGCCUUUGACCCCUUUGGGAAGAUGGCCAACUGGGAAGUAGUAGUCCUCAAGAACCUCAUAUGCUGUUCGGCUAUCAGUGGAGGAGUGGGAUGGAGUUGAAUGUAUAACGAUUAGGCAGAGAGUUGCUGCUAGAGAAAUCUAGCUUUGGGUUGUGGCUGAACCCAUCUCUCUCUCUCUCUCUCUCUCUCUCUCUCUCUCUCUCUCUCUCUCUCUCUUUCUUCUUCUUCUUCUUCUAUCAAUCAUGUAUAUUAGGGUUUAGGCCUAGGGUGUUGUGGAUGAUAACCAAUGAGAAAAACUAGGCUAUUGAAUGAUUUUCUCUUGGUGCAUGAGAAGAAGAAGCUAUAUCAAGAUGUAACAUUUAUGUAUCAUUAUUUUAGUAAUCCAAAAGACCAUGAAAAUUUACAACACAUCGUAUUUGAUGAUUAGUCAAAUAUUUUACUCAGGAAUGAAAUUUACGACACAUCGUGCUUGAUGAUUAGUCCAUUUUACUUGACUCCAACACAUUGUUUUAAUAGCGCACGUUUAACCGUUAUUUUUCAAUAUAUACAUGGAGAGGAUGAUGAAAGCUAAUGCAAUAUCUAAAAUUAGAUUUUAAAGUUGUCCUUUGAAAUUGGUUUUGUGUCUACAACACAAAACAUCUAACCUACAAAAUCCAUGAUAAACUUUUGAUAAAUUGGUUUUUUGAGAAUUUAUUACCGAAACAUGUUUUUGAGAAUAAAUUUGAGGUGAUUUCAAUUUUCUUUUAAAGCAUUUUGAGCAAUGAUUCAAAAUAUAAAGAAUACUACAUAUAUAUAUAUAUAUAUAUAUAUAUAUAUAUAUAUAUAUAUAUAUAUAUAUAUAUAUAUAUAUAUAUAUAUAUAUAUGUGCACAUAAUACCUUUAUGGAGGAAAAAAAAACUAAUUUUCAUAUUUGGGUUUUAAACAAAAUUUUAUCUUUUAAAAUAAUUGAGAACUAUUUUAAAAAAUUACUUUUUAAAAACAUAGCAAACCAAAUUCUUGCAAUUCAAUGAACUAGUCUUUCAUGAGGAUGGGCCAAGUGCCAAAUUACUUAGCUACACCAAAUCAUCAAUGUCCCCAUUUUCCAAGAUUUCACUCUCUUAGAAUAUGUUUGGUUCCUGAAAAAUGUUAGGGAAAGGAAAAAAAAAUGUUGUGAAAAAUCAUUUUCCUUAGUUUGGAUGACAUGGAAAAUACCAUGGAAAAAAAACAUAAAGGAAAAUGCUAAUGGAAAUAUUAUAAUAUUUUUCCUACUACUUUUCUUAAAAAAUAAUGAGGAAAAUAGGAAAGAAAUGGAAGGGAAAAGUUGGGGGAAAUUUUAUCGGGCUCACUAUAUCAUCUUUAUCGAGUCUCUUUGUUUGCAUAACCUCUUUAUCAGUCACUAUGGCUUCUCACCAUUAUUGGUCCUUUCAACGACCACCACCAUCACUUUGAUCACUUUCCAGUACCUCUGACAACCUACCAUCUUCGAGCACACGAGUUCCCAUGGAUGAAAUGUGUUCUUCAAAUCGAGUUCCCAUGGAUGAAAUGCAUUUUUCAAAUCUAGUGAAUGUGUUUGCAUCCAUGUCUUUAGAUCAGGUAUGAAUUGUCAAAACUUUGGUUUCUUCAAAUUUGUGGCCUCUAUUUGACUUUAUUUUUCAUGGAGAAUUCAAGGUUUACAGAGAAGUUGGGCUCUCUCUGGUCUUUCUCCAAUGUUCUUUCUUCGAGAAGUCAAACUAUGGUUUCUGAUACUAACGAGAAAGCCACUCAAUUCUUUGUCAAUCAUAGUUCCAAAGUAGAGCCAACCAAACCCCUAAGCCUUAUUGUUGAGAAUAAGAAGAAUCAAAUUGAGAAUACUAAGGUUCUAGACCAACUCCAAAGUGUUGUAAUUGUGGUGAGUUUGCUGCUGAAACCAAAGCCCAGAUAGCAAAAACAGAGGUCUUGGAAGUGCUGCUACUGAUGAAAGAAAAAAGGAGGAGAAGGAGCAAGAAAAUCUUUGAGUCUUGUUUGAAUCAAAGGAAGGGUUCUUAGGAAGUUUAAUUUACAAACGAAGGGGCUUGAUCAUAUGGGUUUUUCUAUGAAUGUGGUUUGUGGGAAUGAGGUAGUUGAGGAAACGUCUAGGUAUUGUAGGGAACCCCCUAGACGCCCACGUGGCAACCUCGCACGACAUACCCCCAGGCAACACGUGGCAUACCAGCUCCCUAUCCGGGUCCUCUCAAGGGGGCACACAACACCCUCAAAUCCUCUACCUGGACGAUGCUCUCCCGUGUCCGGAUGUGUUGUCCAGACUUAUGAAGCCUUGGCUGUAAAAUGCGGGCCCAGUCACUUCAGAUAGC
This 27376-nucleotide long non-coding RNA is filed under the name Vitis vinifera (wine grape). RNAcentral describes it as "long non-coding RNA (VVIN_LNC004434)". Lineage: Eukaryota; Viridiplantae; Streptophyta; Magnoliopsida; Vitales; Vitaceae. The record is from RNAcentral.